Molecule: ribosomal RNA, 900 nt
Filed under: Fomitopsis alaskana
Lineage: Eukaryota; Fungi; Basidiomycota; Agaricomycetes; Polyporales; Fomitopsidaceae
Also listed under: 1 other name
Description: partial 28S ribosomal RNA
Rfam family: Eukaryotic large subunit ribosomal RNA
Source: RNAcentral
AUAUCAAUAAGCGGAGGAAAAGAAACUAACAAGGAUUCCCCUAGUAACUGCGAGUGAAGCGGGAAAAGCUCAAAUUUAAAAUCUGGCGGUCUUCGGCCGUCCGAGUUGUAGUCUGGAGAAGUGCUUUCCGCGCUGGACCGUGUACAAGUCUCUUGGAACAGAGCGUCAUAGAGGGUGAGAAUCCCGUCUUUGACACGGACUACCAGUGCUUUGUGAUGCGCUCUCAAAGAGUCGAGUUGUUUGGGAAUGCAGCUCAAAAUGGGUGGUAAAUUCCAUCUAAAGCUAAAUAUUGGCGAGAGACCGAUAGCGAACAAGUACCGUGAGGGAAAGAUGAAAAGCACUUUGGAAAGAGAGUUAAACAGUACGUGAAAUUGCUGAAAGGGAAACGAUUGAAGUCAGUCGCGUUAGCCAGGACUCAGCCUUGUUUUUACUUGGUGCAUUUUCUGGUUGACGGGCCAGCAUCGAUUUUGACCGCCGGAAAAAGAUUGGGGGAAUGUGGCACCUUCGGGUGUGUUAUAGCCCUCAGUCACAUACGGCGAUUGGGAUCGAGGACCGCAGCACGCCUUUAUGGCCGGGGUUCGCCCACGUUCGUGCUUAGGAUGCUGGCGUAAUGGCUUUAAACGACCCGUCUUGAAACACGGACCAAGGAGUCUAACAUGCCUGCGAGUGUUUGGGUGGAAAACCCGAGCGCGUAAUGAAAGUGAAAGUUGAGAUCCCUGUCGCGGGGAGCAUCGACGCCCGGACUUGAACUUCGGUGAUAGAUCUGCGGUAGAGCAUGUAUGUUGGGACCCGAAAGAUGGUGAACUAUGCCUGAAUAGGGUGAAGCCAGAGGAAACUCUGGUGGAGGCUCGUAGCGAUUCUGACGUGCAAAUCGAUCGUCAAAUUUGGGUAUAGGGGCGA